This is a long non-coding RNA of Oreochromis aureus, 812 nucleotides long. RefSeq lists it as uncharacterized. The record is from RefSeq and is a predicted model, not a curated record. The transcript is spliced from 3 exons. Lineage: Eukaryota; Metazoa; Chordata; Actinopteri; Cichliformes; Cichlidae.
GCAGCAGUCCGGUAGCAAUAAAAAUGACCAUCAGCUGAUGAGUGAGCCUCUCCGAUGUAGUCCUGACUGCGCCCAUCGGUGAAGACGAUGCCCACCUUUGUGACUCCAGGGCGGGCACCCUGACCAAGGCUGAAGCUGUUUUCUACCAGAUAACGGAGAGCCUGGCCUGUCAUGGUUCCCCUCUCCAGGAAACUUACCUGCCUGUGUCAUUCGCUGCCCGCCUACUGGAAGAAAACACCCCAGCAAAAGAGUGAGCGGAGUUAUCAGUUGUUGUUUUUUUAAUCACACACCUCUUUUGAUUUAGAACUUAGCACUCUACCUGUGGGUCCUUCUUAUUAAGCAACAACACAGUUAAUCUGGUUUAUCAAGUGAAUCAGAGUGUUUGAGGUCAGGAGUCUUAAUUGAGUGUGCAAAUAAACAGGUGUGAAUCAGGGAGUGAGCAGCGGCAUUAAAAAAAAUAUUUUUAACACAUUCGGUGUGUAGAGGCCUUUAGAUCUUAUUGAAUUAGAGAGAAUGGAGUGGUUUGAAGCAUGUGUAGUAGUUACUAUGCAUUUAAACACUGUACUUUCUACUUGAGUACAAUUACAGAAGAUCCAGUCAGCAGUGAGCAUCUAUGCCAGAUACCUGCAAUUAGGCCAUUAACCAUCCUUAGAACUGGAAAAUUAUGGUACAGCUCCACCAGCACAUUUAAUUUCAUUGGCUGCUGGAUUGUUCAGUGUUAUUUAAUGACCUGUGUACAAAACACAAGGACUGCCUGAUUAUUUAGUAGACAAUAGUAGGUUUAUCUAAAAGCAGAGGGUGUGGAAAAUCUG